This 1350-nucleotide ribosomal RNA is filed under the name metagenome. Its description in RNAcentral is "bacterial LSU rRNA". It matches the Rfam family "Bacterial large subunit ribosomal RNA", at positions 1566 to 2925 of the family's 2925-position model. The record is from RNAcentral.
AGUACGACCCGUUACGACGGGGAAGUGUCUGACGUCAGGCUUCCAAGAAAAGCCCGAACCACGUUAAUUCAAAUUGGCCCGUACCCUAAACCGACACAGGUGGGAAGGUAGAGUAUACCCAGGGGCGCGAGAUAACUCUCUCUAAGGAACUCGGCAAAAUGGCCCCGUAACUUCGGGAGAAGGGGUGCCACUGAAAGGUGGCCGCAGUGAAGAGUCCCAGGCGACUGUUUACCAAAAACACAGGUCUCCGCUAAGUCGCAAGACGAUGUAUGGGGGCUGACGCCUGCCCAGUGCCGGAAGGUUAAGGAAGUUGGUCAGACUUUUAGGAGUUGAAGCUAGCGACUGAAGCCCCGGUGAACGGCGGCCGUAACUAUAACGGUCCUAAGGUAGCGAAAUUCCUUGUCGGGUAAGUUCCGACCCGCACGAAAGGCGUAACGAUCUGGGAGCUGUCUCGGAGAGAGGCUCGGCGAAAUAGGAAUGUCUGUGAAGAUACGGACUACCUGCACCCGGACAGAAAGACCCUAUGAAGCUUUACUGUAGCUUGGUAUUGGGUUCGGGCUUUAAUCGCGCAGGAUAGGUGGGAGACUAUGAGAUAGCUCUUGUGGGAGUUAUGGAGUCACUGGUGAGAUACCACUCUAUUAAGGCUAGAAUUCUAACCUUGACCCGUUAUCCGGGCAGGGGACAGUAUCAGGUGGGCAGUUUGACUGGGGCGGUCGCCUCCUAAAUGGUAACGGAGGCGCGCAAAGGUUCUCUCAGGCUGGUUGGAAAUCAGCCAUCGAGUGUAAAGGCAAAAGAGGGCUUGACUGCGAGAGUGACAACUCGAGCAGGUACGAAAGUAGGCCUUAGUGAUCCGACGGUUCCGCGUGGAAGGGCCGUCGCUCAACGGAUAAAAGUUACUCUAGGAUAACAGGCUGAUCUCCCCCAAGAGUUCACAUCGACGGGGAGGUUUGGCACCUCGAUGUCGGCUCAUCGCAACCUGGGGCCGUAGUCGGUCCCAAGGGUUGGGCUGUUCGCCCAUUAAAGCGGUACGUGAGCUGGGUUCAGAACGUCGUGAGACAGUUCGGUCCAUAUCCGGUGCAGGCGUAGGAACAUUGAGAGGAGUCUUCCUUAGUACGAGAGGACCGGGAAGAACGCACCGCUGGUGUACCUGUUAUCGUGCCAACGGUAAACGCAGGGUAGCUAAGUGCGGAGAGGAUAACCGCUGAAAGCAUCUAAGUGGGAAGCCCACCUCAAGAUGAGUGUUCCCAUGGCAUAAGCCAGUAAGGUCACGGGUAGACCACCCGUUAAUAGGCGCUAGAUGGAAGUCCAGCAAUGGAUGUAGUCGAGGCGUACUAACAGACCGAGGGCUUG